GCGAUACCUGUGUAGAGACACGGUGCAGGGAGGAUCAAGCUUCGACGGCACCGCGACUGUGGCAUCUGACAGUUUUACUAUCAUAUACUGUGUGCAGAGAUGAAACUGGGACAUGUUGCCCUCACCUGUGGUCUCCACUAACAUGGCUCCAGACGCGGACGCGUCGCUUCGGUUCUGUAUCUCCUGCUUGGUGUGUCAGCAUGUCUGGCCGCCGUGUGCUUCUGCCUCUGUGCAUGUUCAUCCUGUGCAGACAGAACAGCGGAGAAGGGCCGGCGUGCUCUAUUAAGAGAUGAGAAGCUGCAGAUGAGCCCAAUGUCAAGCUGUCACAGCGCGGAUGAGUCACAAGCAGGACUCAUGAAUCAUUCAAGCGUCUUUCUCAGGCGUGAGCCCACUCGCGGAGCCGCAGGUGAACUGUAAACCCCGCUCGUCUUCCCCGUGAGCCGUCCUCUCCUGUGACUGAUGGCGAAGCAAAGGUCCGCCUCCACGCUCGCCUGGAAUAGCAAGCGCCCCUCGACCUUCUCAACUUUUCCACAGGGCCCUGGGGAACGCCGCCGCUUCGCCGCAGCUCCCUGCUCCUCCGUCGGGGACGUUUGAAGCUCCGCGUCUCCUGCCCCUCAGGACCCUCCCGUCCCGAAUCCACCUGCUGAGUGAAUGACUUUGUUGAUUUUCAAAGACAGAUUGAACCAACGGUGUGCUGAUAAUCAACUGUCCCUGCAGCACCCGGGGAACGCUCCCCUGAGGAGCCCGCUCUUAAACACACACUUCCUCUGCUGGAGGAAACAAACCACAUUAAGUUUCAAGCGUGAGCGGAAACUUCAGAAGUCAGAGAGUGAAAGCGUUGACCUACUUGUUCCUUGCAGGAAAAGUAAUCACUAAAAGAAAUCAGCCAUGACUCUUUAUUUGCUCCUUCAUGAAAUCAUAUUUUCAGUCUGCAUUAAAUAAGGUAUUUGUCAGCCUGUUCCACUGCCUCAGGAAGACAACACACAGCUUUUAUAUAAUCAUGGGUGAAGACCUCUGAGCUGUGGGGCUUCAACACGCAGGUCUGAGCUCCGUGCACGAAACAUGUGGGCAAGAGGUGAACGUCGAUCUGCAACCAUCCAGGACAGAGCAGUGAUGAAGAAGUCUUCAGCCAUGAGGAUGAUUCCUUACAAAGGUUCAGAACAGGACCGAGCGGGUCCAGGGCGUCGGGUCCAAGUGAGCUCACCUCCAACUCUGCUCAUCUUUACAGUAACCACUUUAAUGUCUGUCCGUAGCUUGGGUGGUCUUUUCCUCAUCCAUCCGCACCACAUUUGUGUAGAUCCAUUCAACUCGGCUCACAGAUACAAGGCUUCAGAACCGACGCUGUUCUCCCUGCUUCCAAACAGCCUGAGCGUGUGGUUUGGGGCUGGAGCGCAGUUCUUCCCUCUCUGUAUUUCUACAGGCGUGAGAUGAAGCGGAGGCACAUGUCUUCACCACCCACAGACACAGAGCGGCCUCCGAGGACCGCAGCUACAGAAGUUCAUGUAACAAGAAGAAACGUGUUCAGAGUUUUACUUUAAAAACAAACUUUUCCUUUCAAGCGAGACCGGCAGCACCAAGCUCAUCAGUCAACACACACACACACACACACACACACAUCAGACACACAUCACAGAACAAACCGAGGUCUUUGUCACGUUUAUCCAUACUGUAUAUAGACUGCAAAACUGGCAUUCAAAGCCACAUUGACAGUUUGGGCUGUUUAAUGGUCAGUGCUGCCGACGCCGGCUUACAGCAUGUUGAUCCCAUCAAGCUGUUAGGAACAAUGCGGUGUUGCGCAUCCAGCAGCGAGAGACGCAUUAACAUUCACUGCUGCCAUGUUCACAAAGGUCACACUCGUUUCCUGCCAUGUUUGCUGCCUCCUCGGCGUUCAGCAGUUAGUGUGAGACCAACAGACCCCGACCAUCAGCACAGGUCUGAAGAACGCCGGUUCUCUGAGGGUGGAGCAAACGCUCUUCAGGCAAACUGACUGUUUAAGUGGGACUCCAUCAUUGGACCCAUUCAAUCGCUUGCUGCUGGGUACGGUGGGAGGACACAUCCCCCCGGAUGCGCAGCAGUGAUGCUGAAGCAGGUUGAUAUAAACGCACUGGCCCUCCACAGCAUCCUCAGUGGGCGGGGGGGUGGAUGUGAACACACUAUGUAAUUGGUCGCUACAACGGCAGAGCCCAGAACAGCAUGCACCACGUUGAAGGAAGACACCACAGCACACAGACACCUGCUCUGUGCCUGUUAACACAUUGAUCUCUGCUUCCUGAAUUAGCUUUUCAGGCAGAAGCGUCUCUCCAUGUUGACCUUGAGAUAGAUGUGAGGGUGGAAACAGCAGGAGGCUGAAAAGGAAAGUGUCCAACCCGCAUCAGUCACUGUAGCGUAAACAGUCGAGUCCGUGUAUUUCUGUAUCCGUGCGGUUCACACGCACUUUAAGUGUAUAGAAAUUCACACAUGCAUGUGUUGUGUCAUUAUACGGUCAUUGUCUGAAAGGCUCUUUAAACAGCUCCGCAGAGUUGAAUGGAUUAAAUUGAGCAAUUUAAUUGAGCAUUUAUUCCAGCGCUGCCGGUGAAGCCCAGUAACAGCUGGAGCACUAACGCAGCCACACAAGCGAUGGGGAGGUUCUGUUGUCUCUGCUGCGAGAGGAACAACUUAUGCACGACUGAUAUUGGCUCUGUGUGUAUUUAAAGUCUUGGGCUUCGGUGCUUUUCUACUUCCGUCUCCCACGCAGCAGCAAAACCAACAAACAGAUGUAAAUAGAUACCGAGAAUCUGCUUUGCUGAAGACACAAUGAAAGCUCCUUCUGAUUUGAUGCGUCUAAAUAUUGUCUGCGCUCGUGUGUAACAGAGCAGAUGCUGAAGCUGUAACUCCACGAUAACUCACUCACUGCAACUAAUGAUCCUGCUGAGAUAAACAGAUGAAGAGUUCAAAACACGAGCGGAGUUGAAAAGCACUGCAGCAAAGGGAACCAAACUCCAGUCUCCAGCAGACGACCAUAUGUCCGUCCACGCUCCAAAUGCAAUAUUGACUCGGCUGGAGUUGUGGGAAUGUGCUGUGAUUGAGGAGUGGCUCGCUGCUCUGCAGCGGCGUCUCGACAGGAACGUGACCGGUGAUGGGUCAUAAUGAAAACCCUCUGGAGACGUGAUUGAUUCACUCGCAUCAGCUCACCUCUGUUUUCAAUUUCACCCAAUGUAAUCAUGUAUAUGCGCGUUUGCAGCAGCUCCACUUCAUCCAGUUACAAAGCAAACUGCAGCCAGCAGGAGGGAGAAUGAUGUGAUCUGUCGCUGCUGCACCACAAACAAAUGCAAAUUCCCCACACGGCAAAACUAAUACACAGUUUUGCUCACAUGGAAGGUAAAUAGAGUUACGUGCGCCAGACAGCGGGUCUAAAUCAAAUGUGCUGAAGGAGAACAGCAGCGUGUUCUGUACGUAGGCCGCAGUAAUGUUAUAACCACAAAUGAAAACUCUAUUUAUGCUUGGCAACAAAAGAACAUAUCGAUUUCUGUCACAGCUCAGAAACACUGAAUGCAGGAGCACGACAUGGAGACGAGGACGAAGCAGCACGAACCUGUCACGAUUAUUAAACGCUGAUCACAGCUAAGAGGCUGGACGAGGAGCGGAGCAGAAAACACAGGAGGUCAAACGCCAGGCAGCUAACAGGCGGCGUGACAGCUCAGAGGAGCCGCCGGCAGGUAAACGCUGGCAUCCGUCCACCAUUUACUACGGUGAACAUCAGACGGAUCAAGGACGGAUCAAUGAUGGACAGACGGACGGAAGGAUCAAUUAUGGACGGACAGAAGGAAAGAUCAAUUAUGGACGGAAGGCCUUUGUAACUUUGUUAUGCAGUUAGGUUUUGUAAUCAUUUUAUCUCUGUUGUGGGUUAUAGUAUUUUCUGUGAUUUAAGCUAUGAAUAACGUGAAAUUCAGGCCACAAUCACAAACUUAUUGAAGGUUUUUGGAUGAGAGAGAGCCUCUAGUUUUGGCUUUUGAAUAAACACUGGCAUGGAACCCAUGGAGACAGACAGAGGGCAUAUCUGAUCCACACAGCGCCACACGAGUCCGACUUUCUUUUAGCGCUGAACUGACUCAGUUCCAGGCUUUUGGGUUUACAAAGAACCAAUCAUCAUCGUGCAAAUUCCUAAAGAGAAAAUACGCGAGAAAAGGAAGAAUAAGAUGCUUUUAAAGCCGUUACCGUUUAUCUCAGCCGAACCGAUGCAGC
Long non-coding RNA from Betta splendens (Siamese fighting fish), 4221 nucleotides. RefSeq lists it as uncharacterized. The record is from RefSeq and is a predicted model, not a curated record. The transcript is spliced from 3 exons. NCBI's taxonomy places the organism in Eukaryota, Metazoa, Chordata, Actinopteri, Anabantiformes, Osphronemidae.